UGAGCUAUAUAUGGAUGCCUAGGUACACUUAUAGUAGAUAGACGUAAACUUAACAACGAAAAAUCAUAAUUAGAUGUCGAGAACUCAGUUAUGAUUGUCUAUUACAGAAAACUGUAUAAUAUAAUAAUAAGUUAUUAAUAAUAACUUAUAAAAACUUAGCGAACUGAAACAUCUUAGUAGCUAAAGGAAAAUAAAUCAACCGAGAUUCCGUAAGUAGUGGUGAGCGAACGCGGAUUUAGGCCUAAAAUAAUAGAUAGUAUAAAUGUGCAGAAAGUUAUUACCAAAGAGGGUAACAAGUCCCGUAUGUGAGCAUUUUUAUUUAUUAUUGUGAGUAAGGCGGGAUCUGUGAAGUCCUGUUUGAAUAUUGUGGAACCACCCACAAAGCCUAAAUAAUAAGUGUAACCGAUAGUGAACAAGUACCGCGAGGGAAAUGGUGAAAAAGAAACCUAAAAAGGGUAUUGAAAUUAGAUACUGAAAUAUAUAGCUUUCAAGCAGUUAGAGUCCACAUCGUGGAUGAUAGCGUACCUCUUGUAUCAUGGGUCAGCGACUAGAUUUAUUUAGCGAGUUUAAGAUAUUUAAAUGUCUAAGGCGUAGCGAAAGCAAAUUUUAAUUUUAGUAUUUAGCUAAAUGAAUCUGACACGAAACCACUUGAUCUAAUCAUGAACAGGAUGAAUUUGGCUUAAAAAACCAUUGGAGGUCCGAACUCGUAUCUGUUGCAAAAGAUUGAGACGAUUUGUGAUUAGGGGUGAAAGGCUUAUCAAAAGUGGAGAUAGCUUGUUAUUCGCGAAAUCUAUUUAAGUAGAGUGUCGUAAUUAUUAAAUUUAUGGGUAGAGUACAAGGUGGUUGCGAGGGUUUUUCGGAAUCUGUCAAGACCAACGUAACUCCGAAUAAUAAAUUUUUUUAUACGGCGAACAGACAGUGAGUGCGAAGAUUCAUUGUCAAAAGGGUAACAGCCCAGAUCGAAAGUUAAGGUCUUAAAAUGAUAACCUAGUGUGCGUAAGGUUUUAUUAUCUUCUAGGCUCAAGAGUAGCUUUAACAGUGAGCAUCUCUUAAAGAACGUGUGCCAACGCAUGAACCUGAGUGUAAACUUGGUAUAGAAUCGUCGAUGAAGCGAGACUCUCAGUUAUCUAACCGAAACUUCGAAGGAUAUUUCCUGGUAGCGAAUUGUUUUGUAGGUCUGUGAAGGUGAUACUUAAGUAUUGCUGGAGAUAUCAAAAGUAAGAAUGCUGACAUGAGUAGCGUAACUUAAUGCGUUAGUUAUAAUUUAUUUUAUAAUUAGCAAAAAAACAUUAUCUCCUUAAGAGGAAGGGUUUCUACGCUAGGUUUAACCACGUAGAGUUAGUCGGUAUCUAAGGUUUUUGGCGAAAGCUUUAAACUGAUGGUCAUUAGAAUUUAAACUUCUGAUUAAGUGUAAUCGAUUUAAUUCGGGUUUACGAAUCUACAGGCGUUUUAAUUUAUAUAAGUAUUUAGCUAUUUUAAUUGAUUAUUGUUUUCAUAUUGCUUUGUUGGAUCUUUAAUCUUUUGGAGUAUUGGCUUUAUAAUUGUUAUAUAGGUUAUAGUAAUGGGUUUGUUAUUAUUUUUUGAUUUAACUACUUGUUCAAGCGCUUCUAGAAAUAGUUUUGUAAACUAAAGUUACACUUAACCGUACUCAAACCGCCACAGGUCCUCGUGCACUAUUUAUGCUCAGGAGUUUGAAAUAACUGUACUGAAGGAACUCGGCAAACUCACUCUGUAACUUCGGGAGAAAGAGUGCCUUUUAGAGCUUUAUAGUUUUUCUAGUUAGAUUUGAAAGCUUGACAAAGGUCGCAGUGAAGAGGGGAUAACGACUGUUUAUCAAAAACACAGGAGUCUGCUAAGUCUUACGACGAUGUAUAGGCUCUGACGCCUGCCCAAUGCGGUAAACUUAAGAGGCGCGAUUUAAAAAGUUGCAAAUCUAUGGGUCCCGUGAAUGGCGGCCUUAACCAUGAGGGUCCAAAGGUAGCGUAGUACCUCGUCUGUUAAUUGCAGACUUGCAUGAAUGGCCGUCCGAUUUUCCGCUGUCUCCAGUACAGGUUCAGCGAAUUUGAAUUCUCCGUGAAGAUGCGGAGUAUUACUCUUAGUAAGACGGAAAGACCCCAUGCACCUUUACUCUAUGUUUACUUUGUCGAUACAAAUAAUCUGUGUAGGAUAUGCGUUAGCUUUUGAUGUCUCAACGCCAGUUGAUUGCUGAAGCACCCUUGAAAUAGCGCUCUGAUUAUGAGUAUGGACUAAUCUACGAUAAGCAUGUAGAGACACAGUAUGCUGGGGAGUUUAACUGGGGCGGUUGCCUCCUAAAGUGUAACGAGGCGUGCAAAGGUAAGCUCAUCCUGGGGAUCUCCGUGAUCUUUCAAGAGAUGUAGUAUAAUGGCAUAAGCUUGCCUGACUGUAAGAGUGACAAUUCUUGCAGGGACGAAAGUCGGCCAUAGUGAUCCAGUGAUAUAGAGUGGAAUAGUCACUGCUCAACGGAUAAAAGGUACGCUGGGGAUAACAGCUAAUGGUCUCCAAGAGUCCACAUCGACGAGACCGUUUGGCACCUCGAUGUCGGCUCAUCCAAGCGACGGAGUGUAGUAGCUUCGAAUCGUUGGUCUGUUCGACCAUUAAUGGGGUACGUGAGCUGGGUUCAGAACGUCGUGAGACAGUUCGGUCCCUAUCUGCUAAGAGUGUUGAAAACUGAGGGGAUUUCUUGCCUAGUACGAGAGGACUGCGUUUUUAUAUGUAUUUGGUACAUAUAAUAUAGAGAUGAUUUCUAAGACAUAAUAGAGGAGCUAUCGAUUGUAAUCCAGCUAUAGUGCAAAACGUACGCUGGGUAGCUACAUAGCACAACAUAACUACUGAAUACAUCAAUUUUUGUAGGAAGGUUGCCCCAAGACUAGUUUUCUUAAAUCCGUAGUAGACUAUUACGUAGAAUAGGCUAGGUGUG
This 2938-nucleotide ribosomal RNA is filed under the name wastewater metagenome. RNAcentral's name for it is "bacterial LSU rRNA". It matches the Rfam family "Bacterial large subunit ribosomal RNA". The record is from RNAcentral.